Molecule: ribosomal RNA, 253 nt
Filed under: uncultured bacterium
Lineage: Bacteria
Description: partial 16S ribosomal RNA
Rfam family: Bacterial small subunit ribosomal RNA
Source: RNAcentral
UACGGAGGGUGCGAGCGUUGUCCGGAAUCACUGGGCGUAAAGGGCGCGUAGGUGGCGCAACAAGUCAACGGUGAAAGCUCGGCGCUCAACGCCGAGUCGGCCGUCGAUACUGUUGGGCUGGAGCACUGUAGAGGCAGAUGGAAUUCCGGGUGUAGCGGUGGAAUGCGUAGAGAUGUGGAGGAACACCAGUGGCGAAGGCGACUCUUUGGCCUGUAACUGACGCUGAGGCGCGAAAGCGUGGGGAGCAAACAGG